GGCUCAGCACAUGUUGCAUCCAGCACGGGGCCUGAGUUUGGGGGAACUCCAGUUGUCAGGUGAAAGGACGCUCCAGUGAAGCACGUGCAGAAAACAAGAAGGAAGGUGAAUAAGUAUGGACAACAAAGACACAUAUUUUUUGAGAUUUAAAGGCUAUAAUUUUGAAUCUUCUUUAAUUGAUGCUGACUUUCUAGAAAAUCUAGAUGAUUUUGAAAUUAGAGAUGAUGAUGUCUUCAUAAUUACAUAUCCAAAAUCUGGAACCACCUGGACUCAGCAGAUAUUAAGUUUGAUUUAUUUUGAGGGACAUCGCAACAGAACUGAAGACUUGGCAACGCUUGUUAGAGUCCCUUUCUUGGAAUACAAUAUACUCAAAAGAGACUGUCUCAACAGACCAUCUCCUUGCCUCUACUGUUCCCACCUCCCAUAUUAUUUAGUACCAAAAGGUCUCAAGAGCAAAAAAGCUAAAGUAAGGCAUAGAAAUAGCUUAUGGACCUUUGGCACAAACAAAAAUACUUUCUUCAAAUAUUUUUUUCCAGCCCCACUCAUCCACAGUCUUUCAAAUGUGAUUAUUGUAAUCUUUGAUACUGUUUUACACCUUAAAUACAUAUGGAAUUAUAAGUAUAUACAUAAAUUGGGUCAUCCCACACAUUGCUUGUAAUGUGAUUAUAUAGUAUACAGCAACAUUUCUUUGAUGACAGCACAUAAAAUUCUAUUCUUUUUAAUGGUUUUGUAGAAUUUAUUGUAUGGCUCUACAAUGUUUAGUGUAUUGAUGGAUAGGUAAGUUGCAACAAAUGU
Myotis davidii is the source of this 795-nucleotide long non-coding RNA. RefSeq lists it as uncharacterized. The record is from RefSeq and is a predicted model, not a curated record. The transcript has 3 exons. NCBI's taxonomy places the organism in Eukaryota, Metazoa, Chordata, Mammalia, Chiroptera, Vespertilionidae.